Long non-coding RNA from Gallus gallus (chicken), 971 nucleotides. The record is from Ensembl. Lineage: Eukaryota; Metazoa; Chordata; Aves; Galliformes; Phasianidae.
ACACUGUGUCCUCUAGACCCUUCACCAUCUUCGUAGCCCUCCUUUGGAUACUCUCUACUGCACUAAGCAACUCUCUGUGCUCACAACUACUUUUGGAACAAUAAAACUGAACAUCUUGCUUUUAAAAUUCAAGGCCAUGAUCACAAGAGCAGACCCACAUGUAACAAUGCUGCAGGGCUCUUGGAAUACAACAACUAGCUUUCAAAGCAAGAUAAAAACUCAUCCUCAACAUACCUUGCAGACCAAAAGUCUGGGGAGCAAGGAGAAUGCAGAAUGGCAGAAGGGUAAAAAGGAAUGCAAAGGAAUAACCUGCAGAACAUUCUGUGCAUUGUCUGAUUUGUGAUGUGCUUUUCUCCAAAUUGCAGAAAAGAAAAAGAAAGACACAAGCUGACUGCAGAUGUUGAUUUGCAUGUUAAAGAAUACAAAUCUGGAGAAAAUUGCAAAAACUGCAUCACAGAGAGCAGACUCGGUACAGCUAGAUCUGUACUUUUGUGAUAAAACUGAUCCAAAAGGAAGAAAUAAAAGUAAUCCAUCAGAGGUGUGCUGUGGGUCUCAACCUUGCCUCUGAAUGGGAGCUCCUGGGGAGUGCCCAUGCACACCUGACCUCGACUUUGCUGACUGCUGUAAGAAGAUACAUAACCACAGGAUUUAUCUUUUGUCCUCUGUGGGCCCCACAGAGAGAGAAAGAAAAGAUCAGCUCAAGCAGAAAUGAAAGGAUGUGGAGAUUAAGUGCUUAUCUGGAAGGUCAAGAAAAGUCAAGCAAGAAAAAGCAAGAGAGAAAACACAAGACAAAGAGUCACCAAGCAGUACUGUUCCACAAUCAUCACUGCAAUCUGGCUCUCUUGCAGGUGUGUAUCUUUUGUCACCUGAGUAUUGUGUAGAGUUAUUUUGCUCACCAGAAUUGUAUCAUGGGAAUGUGACAAAAAGAUCAGACUUUGAAGUGGGUAACUAUUCAAAUAAAAACAGAGUGC